UUUCUUGAUCAACAUACAGGUGGCACAAAGAUUGAAACAACAAGGCCACAUGGCUGAUUGACAUUGAUUACUAUUUGUUACAACAGUUUCAACAGAAAUCAAGUGAAGCUUUAAAGGAUGAUCCUACAAGCUCACUCUUGAUACCUUGCAUCUUAGGAGAUGAGAUAUAUUUGGCAAUGAAGAAAAUAAUAGGUCUUGUGUCCUCCUGAUACAUACAUAAGUAAUUAGGCUUGUUCCAUACCAUAAAUCUAUGGUUUUUAUGCUAAGAUUGAAUAGCACUUGAAAAUAGCUAGGCUUUAUCUUGCUGGUUUCAUGUUUCUAAUAUGUUAGCUUGAAAUGCCCCACAUUUUUUAUUCAUGUAUAUGUGUAACUAACUUCCGUUA
Vicia villosa (hairy vetch) is the source of this 383-nucleotide long non-coding RNA. RefSeq lists it as uncharacterized. The transcript has 2 exons. The record is from RefSeq and is a predicted model, not a curated record. Lineage: Eukaryota; Viridiplantae; Streptophyta; Magnoliopsida; Fabales; Fabaceae.